GCUGUGAUGGCCGAGUGGUUAAGGCGUUGGUUUUGAAAUCCAAUGGGGUUUCCCUGCGCAGGUUCGAACCCUGCUCUCAGCG
RNAcentral lists this transfer RNA (82 nucleotides) under Dallia pectoralis (Alaska blackfish). RNAcentral describes it as "tRNA-Ser". It matches the Rfam family "tRNA". From Rfam's summary of the family: Transfer RNA (tRNA) molecules are approximately 80 nucleotides in length. Their secondary structure includes four short double-helical elements and three loops (D, anti-codon, and T loops). The record is from RNAcentral. Lineage: Eukaryota; Metazoa; Chordata; Actinopteri; Esociformes; Umbridae.